UUGCUUUUUGCUGUCUUAUCUCUUGUUUAUCAAUUUUAUUUAGGAGUUUGGUAUGAGAAAACCAAUGGAAGGAAGAUGAAAUCUUAAGAGCAAAGUCACAUGGCCCUGACAGUCAAGAUGAGUGGAUGGGCCCUGGGAGUUUAGAGGUCCUGCCUGGACCAUACUGAUGUGGGUGAGAAUGUCAGAUGCCUGAAUGCGCAAAUCCCAGCACUACCACUUACUAUUAGCUUGAGAUCAAAGUCUGCUGCGACAGUGAAGAUGUGCUUGAGUAGUCAGCUGGAUUCCUUAUCCCUGCCAUUCAUCUAUCUCUCCAUCCAGCCACCCAUUCAUUCCUUCAAUCAUCUUCCAAUCAACCAACUAUCCAUCUGCUAUGGUCUGAAUAUUUGUGUCCCUCCAAAAUUUAUUUGUUGAAAUCCUAACCCCUAAGGAUUAUGGGAGGUGAUUAGGUAAUGAAGACAGGACGCUCUUGAUUGAGAUUAAUACCUUUUAAAAAUAUAUAUAUUUUUUAUUGAUUUCAGAGAGGAAGGGAGAAAGAUAGAAACAUAAAGGUUGAGAGAGUAUUAUCAAUCGACUGCCUUCUGCAUGCUCCUUCUGGGGAUCAAACCUACAACCUGGGCAUGUGCCCUGACUGGGAAUUGAACCAUAGCCUCCUGGUUCAUAGGUUGACACUCAAACACUGAGCCACACCAGCU
Long non-coding RNA from Myotis daubentonii (Daubenton's bat), 692 nucleotides. RefSeq lists it as uncharacterized. The record is from RefSeq and is a predicted model, not a curated record. NCBI's taxonomy places the organism in Eukaryota, Metazoa, Chordata, Mammalia, Chiroptera, Vespertilionidae.